CCUACGGGAGACAGCAGUGGGGAAUAUUGGGCAAUGGGCGCAAGCCUGACCAAGCAACGCCGCGUGAAGGAAGAAGGCUUUCGGGUUGUAAACUUCUUUUCUCAGGGACGAAGCAAGUGACGGUACCUGAGGAAUAAGCCACGGCUAACUACGUGCCAGCAGCCGCGGUAAUACGGAGGUGGCAAGCGUUAUCCGGAUUUACUGGGUGUAAAGGGCGUGUAGGCGGGAAAGCAAGUCAGAUGUGAAAACCAUGGGCUCAACCUGUGGCCUGCAUUUGAAACUGUUUUUCUUGAGUACUGGAGAGGCAGACGGAAUUCCUAGUGUAGCGGUGAAAUGCGUAGAUAUUAGGAGGAACACCAGUGGCGAAGGCGGUCUGCUGGACAGCAACUGACGCUGAGGCGCGAAAGCGUGGGGAGCAAACAGGAUUAGAUACCCCUGUAGUC
RNAcentral lists this ribosomal RNA (443 nucleotides) under uncultured bacterium. RNAcentral describes it as "partial 16S ribosomal RNA". It matches the Rfam family "Bacterial small subunit ribosomal RNA", at positions 338 to 795 of the family's 1533-position model. The record is from RNAcentral.